This 253-nucleotide ribosomal RNA is filed under the name uncultured bacterium. RNAcentral describes it as "partial 16S ribosomal RNA". It matches the Rfam family "Bacterial small subunit ribosomal RNA", at positions 524 to 776 of the family's 1533-position model. The record is from RNAcentral.
UACGUAGGGUGCAAGCGUUAAUCGGAAUUACUGGGCGUAAAGCGUGCGCAGGCGGUUAUGUAAGACAGGUGGGAAAUCCCAGGGCUUAACCUUGGAACUGCAUUUGUGACUGCAUAGCUAGAGUACGGUAGAGGGGGAUGGAAUUCCGCGUGUAGCAGUGAAAUGCGUAGAUAUGCGGAGGAACACCGAUGGCGAAGGCAAUCCCCUGGACCUGUACUGACGCUCAUGCACGAAAGCGUGGGGAGCAAACAGG